UCAGCCCCUGGGGUAGUUCUGA
This 22-nucleotide microRNA is filed under the name Oryctolagus cuniculus (rabbit). RNAcentral describes it as "ocu-miR-12093-3p". The record is from miRBase by way of RNAcentral. Lineage: Eukaryota; Metazoa; Chordata; Mammalia; Lagomorpha; Leporidae.